GACGGGGGAUGCAAGAGUUAUCCGGAAUCACUGGGCGUAAAGCGUCUGUAGGUGGUGAUGCAAGUCACUGGUGCAAAACUCUGGCUCAACCGGAGGAAAGCCAGUGAAACUGCAUUACUAGAGUGUGGGAGAGGUAGAAGGAAUUCCCUGAGUAGCGGUGAAAUGCGUAGAUACAGGGAAGAACACCGGAGGCGAAAGCGUUCUACUGGAACUCAACUGACACUGAGAGACGAAAGCUAGGGGAGCGAAUGGG
Molecule: ribosomal RNA, 253 nt
Filed under: uncultured bacterium
Lineage: Bacteria
Description: partial 16S ribosomal RNA
Rfam family: Bacterial small subunit ribosomal RNA
Source: RNAcentral